This 549-nucleotide ribosomal RNA is filed under the name Parmotrema subcaperatum. RNAcentral describes it as "SSU rRNA". It matches the Rfam family "Bacterial small subunit ribosomal RNA", at positions 401 to 929 of the family's 1533-position model. The record is from RNAcentral. Lineage: Eukaryota; Fungi; Ascomycota; Lecanoromycetes; Lecanorales; Parmeliaceae.
GAGGAAUGUAUAGCAAUAGCUACUUGUAUCAUUAUAGUAAUGAUACAAGCUCGACUAUGUUGAAUAAAAUUCUAGGUAGAAUUAUGAUAAUGACAUUGUCUGCCUAUGUGUCUUGACCAAAUUACGUGCCAGCAGUCGCGGUAAUACGUAGAAGACUAGUGUUAUUCAUGUUUAGUCGGUUUAAAGGGUACCUAGACGGUGAAUCAAGCUUUCAAUAAAUAAAAAAAGGGACUAAUUCGCUAGAGUUACUUACGAGGGGGUAUUAAAGUACUGCUGGUGUAGAGAUGAAAUUCUGUCAUACCUCUUUUCGAAAGAAGAAUUAUGGCACAGGUAUAGGCGAAGGCAUCCCCUUAUGUGAUAACUGACGUUGAGGGACGAAGGCUUCAUGUAACAAACAGGAUUAGAUACCCUAGUAGUUGAAAGCAGAAAAUGAUGAAUGUCAUAGAUUAGAUGUCUAAGUUUAUUCUAUAAAUGAAAGUGUAAGCAUUCCACCUCAUGAGUAAUUUGGCAACAUUGGAAUUGAAAUCAUUAGACCGUUUCUGAAACCAG